RNAcentral lists this long non-coding RNA (377 nucleotides) under Volvox carteri. Its description in RNAcentral is "long non-coding RNA (VCAR_LNC002698)". The record is from RNAcentral. Lineage: Eukaryota; Viridiplantae; Chlorophyta; Chlorophyceae; Chlamydomonadales; Volvocaceae.
ACAGCUGAGUGGGCUCAGAAGGACGGUGGAACGAUGUGGGAGUGCCGUGUGUGUGUGUGCACAUCUUAAUAAUACCGCGUGUCCUUUUCCUGGCUCUUCUUGUGGGCCCCCCCUCCGCGUGUUCACUACUUCCCACUCUCCCUCGUCACUUUCACGCCCUCCUCCCUACCUCCUCCCUCUCCCCUCAUUUUCCUCCUUCACUCCUUCACACCUUCACACCUUCACACCUUCACACCUUCACACCUUCACACCUUCACACCUUCACACCUUCACACCUUCACACCUUCACACCUUCACACCUUCACUCCUUCACACCUUCACACCUUCACACCUUCACACCUUCACACCUUCACACCUUCACACCUUCACACCUUCAC